This 427-nucleotide ribosomal RNA is filed under the name uncultured beta proteobacterium. Its description in RNAcentral is "bacterial SSU rRNA". It matches the Rfam family "Bacterial small subunit ribosomal RNA", at positions 355 to 774 of the family's 1533-position model. The record is from RNAcentral. Lineage: Bacteria; Pseudomonadati; Pseudomonadota; Betaproteobacteria.
UGGGGAAUUUUGGACAAUGGGCGAAAGCCUGAUCCAGCCAUGCCGCGUGAGUGAAGAAGGCCUUCGGGUUGUAAAGCUCUUUUAGUCGGAAAGAAAGAGUUGCAAUGAAUAAUUGUGAUUUAUGACGGUACCGACAGAAAAAGCACCGGCUAACUACGUGCCAGCAGCCGCGGUAAUACGUAGGGUGCGAGCGUUAAUCGGAAUUACUGGGCGUAAAGGGUGCGCAGGCGGUCUUGCAAGUCAGAUGUGAAAGCCCCGGGCUUAACCUGGGAAUUGCGUUUGAAACUACAAGACUAGAGUGCAGUAGAGGGGAGUGGAAUUCCAUGUGUAGCAGUGAAAUGCGUAGAGAUGUGGAAGAACACCGAUGGCGAAGGCAGCUGGCUACGCGGAUAUUGACACUGAGGCACGAAAGCGUGGGGAUCAAACA